UUUUGGCCUUUCUUCCAGAAACAAAACCCUAUUUCCCUUCGCCAUCCACUGCCACCGAAGAAACCACGUAGUCGCGCUGUUCUUGGAGAAGUUCAACAUCAGAAUUGCUUCAAGGGAGUUUCUUCUAUGAAUUUAAUUUCACUCAUGUUGUUCUUGAUAUUUAUAUAUUCAGUAAUCAUGUUGUGUAAUUAAGUUCAUAGAUGGGGAUUUUGAUGUAGCCUUGCAAAACUAUUCUAUGUUAUUAAGUUAAAGUAUUCGAUUCAUCAAUCUGUUUUCUUGUUUCAUUCACUGAUUUUAUAGUUUAAUUUGUUUGUUUAUCUUAAUGUUUGAUCACCAUUAGGGUUUCUUACAAAUUAUUUGAUCAAGAUUAUAGUACACAUCAUACUUAAUCUUGGUAGACAUGUGAACGAAUGAAGAAAUUGCUAUGCAUACAUUCUGUAAUGUGAUUUCUUUGGUUCUUUGAAGUUUUCUUGUCCUUAAUGGGUUCUUACUUGCUAAUCUAAGUUGAACAUCACAACUAGAUUGCAGAUUAGGAGUACUUGAUCACAAGCACACAUCAAAUCAUGAUCAUAAAUAAGUAAAACGAACCCUAGUUGCAGAUUGAAGAGUUGAAUGCGUUUUGACUUAAUUUUCAUGGAAUUGACUUGUAAUGGUGAUAUUGGUUUCCCUAGAUCCAUUCCCAUUGUUUCUGAAUCAUUCUAUUAUUCAUAUUUACAUUCUCUUGAAUUUUAAGUUACUUUACUUCUAAAAUCAAAAUCAAAACUCAAUUUGUUAGUUUCAUUGUUUAGUUAGGAUUCAUAUAAAGCUAGUAAUUUUAGAGGUCUAAUCAGUACCUGUGGUUGGAUACCCUUAGUUGUGCCAUAAUACUAUCCUUAUAGUUGCACUUGAAACGAACACAACAGAUGGUGAAGGUGGUAUCAGUGCAGACAACUACCUUGAAGUCGCCAUAAGAGGCCCAAAACCUCUUUAUCAGUCGCACAGUGGUCCCCCACAGGGGUAGACAUUCAGCAAUGAGAAAUCCAGCCAAAUAGGUACCAUUGUUGGUGUUGAAUUACGUUCGAGGUUCACUAGGAGAUUGUUAGUGUGUUUUUGAUGGGCCUGAUGAUUUUCCAUGAGGAAAAGAGGGAUUAAGUGACAAAAUGUUAAAAGAGGGAUUCCAAUGAUAAAGAAACAGAUAUGGGAGACAGGGAGAGGACAAGAUUGGUGAUGAUAUUAUGGAGGUUGAGUGGAGUUUAUAAAUAAGUUUUGAGAACUUGAUGGGAUUUGAUUGAUGAGGUUGCAUGGUGUUAAUGGGUUGCCACAAAUGGGGUUUGGACUAGUUUAUGAUUACCCAUAGGAACUCAAUGGAAUUAAAGGGUAGGGCGGCUCCAAAUUCACUCCAGGGAGCAAGGAUUUGAAAGAGAAUAAAUAUACAUAGGAGCAAGAGAGAAAAACCUACCAAAGAGAAGAUGAUUAAGAGGUAAGGGAAGAUUUAGGAGAAUUAAGGGAAUCGAGAGAAUAGAUUUGCUUAGAUUCAGGAUAAAUGGGGGAUUGGAAGAGGGGAGAGAUAAAGAGGGGGAGUGUAGUGAGGGGGCAGCAACGUGACUGUAGUAAAUUUGAAAGACGACUAACAUCAAAUUGUUCAGGUGUAAAUAAAUUGAAAAGAUGGACAAAUGGACAGAUGGACAGAUGGAUAGAGGAGGCGGAUUAGACAUGCGAGGAGCUUAAAUAAAUAAAAUGAAGUCUUAAAUAGGGAAAAUUAAUAAAGGAAAGGGUUGGGAUAAAAGAAAGAUUGGGAAGGACGGUGAAAAAGAUUAAAAACAAACCUCAGAAAAACGAGAUGGGAAACCCUAACAAAGGCAGGGGAAACUCUCAAUGACAGAGAGUGGACCUAAUCUUGAUCUAAGUAAGGAAAUAUCUACCUCGAAGUCAAUUUUAUGAGGAAAAUCAGGCUCGCCUACUUGUUAAAUAGCUGGAAGGUAAUGGAUUGCCUCCUAAGUCUCAAAGGUGAAAAAUGGGCUCGCCAAGCAUCUUCAUUCUAAACAAUAAUUGUUUUGUACAAGGGUGAUGAAAUUGUCCUUAUUAUUACUUUAGUGUAAAGUGAGGGGGAUUUUGGCAUUGCUCAUAAGCGACAGUGAAAUUGGCCUGAUUUCGACAUAUUUACAACUCGGCCAUCCGAUUAAAAAACUGAAAGAACUUCUGCAUUUGGGGCCUUUGGUUUGUGGGUUUGGGCUUCGAGUGGGCCAUUGGGGCCACCUCAGCGAUCACAACUCUCACUUACAGAAAAUACACAACUUUCAUUUUGCAUUUUAUUUUUUUAAUAAAUUGUAACAGACUUGUUGAAUACUUAGAUUAACACACAUUAUAUGCUUGUUCCUCAUGUUUUCAUUAUGUUCUAAUAUUUUAUAAUCUAUAUGUCAUUAAAUUUUGUAAUUUAUGUAUCCUAAUGCAAUUAUGUAUUUUUUAAGUAGAAGAAGGCACUUAUUUAUACAAUAUAUAUUAGAUUUCACUUAAAUCCGCCUAGGCGGCUAGACCCUACCUCGCCACCCGACUAGUGCCUAGCAUUUUUUGGAACCUUGGUCGUAAAUAUGUUUUCCUCAUUUGAACUCUAUUUAGCUGUCAUUUGUUCUUUUCCUCAAUUCUUUCUCACCAUUUGCAUUUUUCGGAGCUUCUGGAAUGAGCCUGUAUAUAUUUUUUCCAUUUCUCUUCGUGAUUAUAUUAUUUUUCGUUGUGAGAUUGAUAUGCUGGAUUUAUUUAUCUAUGGUUGCGUUUUUUAGGUGUUUGGGGAAGAUCCAUUUUCAGGGGAUUUCGUUGGUUUUGUCUAUUCAGCUAUCUUUGUUUCUUUUAUUUUGCCGUUUUAGUUGGUUAUUAGGAAUAAGGGUUUGGAUCGGUACUGAUUGUGUUCGUUGGAUUGUUUUUUUUUUUUAAUGCAUGAUUGGAUGGUUGUUAUUGGUGUUUUGUGUGCUCUCAUAAAUAUUUUUUUGAAUUAAGAUUAUAUUCAUGUGUUUUGUGUGCUUGAUCAGUUGUCAUGGAUGGAUCUCUGUUCUAUUUUCAAUCCUUUUUCAGAUGAUUUGAUUGUUUCUCUCUUUUCGUGUCUUUUUCUCUUGUUGUUAAAUUUUUGGUUGAUUAGUAGGAAGAAGGAUUUCAUUCGGUGCCGGUAUUUUUGUUAGAUUGUUGUUGUUUUUUAAUGUAUGAUUGGAUGAUUGUUAUUGAUGUUUCUAUGGCUUCAUAAAUUUCUUUUGGGGAUUACGAUUAUGUCCAUGUGUUUUGGAUGCUUAAUCAGUUGGUUUGGAUGGAUAUUUGUUUUCUUAUCAACUUAUCUUUUGCUAUGUGCAUAGUUACAUUUUCUGUGUAGGUUUUCUGUUUGGUGUUUGAGCCCUUCGUUUUUAUUUGCUAGCACUUCCUUGCGAGUGGUUGCAAUUCUGCGCCGGAUAGAUUUCUUGCCUUCUAAAUACUCAUAAUUUUUUCAUUUCCGUUUGGUGUUUCUUAUUUGUGGUUGCGUCACUUGGAUUGCCUUAAUUUUUUUUUUUGGCUCUUUUGUUAUACCUCCAUAGCUGGGGAUCUUUAAGAGACUACUAAAAAUGAAAUAUUCACGUUGUUUGUUCUGACCUAAUCUGGUUCGGAUUUUCAUUUGUUGUCCUAUUUUUCGUCAAUCUAUGUUUAUGUUGAUGAGUUAUUUUAUUGAACUUAUUUUUGUCGGUUGAUUAUAUGCUCUUGACGGUGCUUGUUUGGUUGCUAUUUUAAUCUCAUAUGGAUUAUAAUUGUACGUUUAUUUGAUCAGUUAUUUUCUUGUUUCAAUGAUGCAUGCUAUUCUUUUCUUAGUGGUUUUGGUUUAAUUAUUGGACAGAAUAACCGUGGCUGUGUAUGGUUCACUAUGGUUUUUUUUUUUAAAACGUAUCGUGGGCGGGUGUUUCUGUGGCUAUUUGUUUGUCUGUUGUUAACAAAUUAAUUUUCUGUUUGUGUGUUUAUUUGUUCUCAAUCUGUGGAUGCAUCCAUGCACUGUGUUUAUUUGCGUGCUUUAUGGUUUUGUUUGUUGAUGGUUAUGGUUUGAUUACUGGCCAAAGAAACUGGUUGGGUUAAUAUUUAACAUUGGGUUUUGUAUUAGGGAAAGCCCAAAAGUGCCAAAGCAAGUUGAACUUGCCCGGAGCCCAGUCAAGAGGCCUGAAGCAAAUUGGAGCCUUUUUAGCCAAGGCAUAGACCAUGUUCCUAGGAUUGAAGUGACAGAUGAUAGACACGAACUCACUAUCAACCAAAAAGCACUUUCUAGUGGCAUGACAAGUAAAUAGAUGAUGACUCAUUGCCCUCUGAGAGCCAUCGGCCAAGAACAAAGCCUAGAUAGUCGGGCCAAAUCGCCUAUAAAAGGAGAAAAGGACAUUAGAGACAAGAACACUCAACCAACCAAUCAAAAGACAUACAAACUCUGCUCUCAAGCCAGUUCGUACCCAGAAAGCUGAAACUUGUCCAAAUUUAAUCCUUUUAGCUACAGUUCCCUUAGAAAAGACAUCUUUUGUCUAGUGUAAAAGCUCUGCUACCUUCCCUUAGUUUUGUAGUAUCGAUUCCCUCGUGUAAAACCUAUUUACCAUCCAUUCUUCUUAGCAUAUAAGACCUUGCCUGACAAGGUGAAAUCUUGUCCGAGUCUCUUUGUUUGUACUUUUACUUAGUAGAUAUGUCGCUUAAUGUACUUUUCAGCAUGUAUUCAAGUUAUUCAAACUGUUUUCUGUCCCAUUUGCAUUCGAAUCUGGUUAACUUAAUAAACCUAUUUUCAUUAAGAGAAAACUGUGUUCGAGUAAAUGGUUAAGAGGGCCUUGAACUCCCUUCACUUUGGAUGUACAAGAUUAUGAACUAAAGUCCUUGUUUACAAGGCAAGAAAAAUAACCUAAUGCAGACUUAACCUAUCUAUGACAAUCCUUUGAUAACGAGAAAUUUAAGUAACUUGGGGUGCAAGUAACUAACUUAACUCACACUUAUUCAACAUAUGUAUAUUGAGAUAACAGUGGCACGCCUAAAUCCUUGUUAGUUUUGAUUGCAAGCCCCAGAGCCUACACCAAAGGCUCUACAAAGGCACCUUUCAAUACACCAAGUGCUAAACCCCUAGGGAACUAUGCGAGGAAAUCCUUGCCUGAACAUAGUUUUGGCACGCCUAGUGGGACCACCACUAAUUUUGUAUGCCAAGAAGAAGGAAGGAGCGAACUUUCAGGUGGAAAUAGAGUUUGGACAAACUCAUUGCCCAACAGAAGCAAAUAUGAUAGACUACCCAUAAGACUUUCCAUCCCUACAAAGUUUUGCCAUUCUAGAAAGCCUAACUUCUUCUGAGAAGUCGAGCGAAAAGGUUACAAAUGAAGACUUGCAAGCCACCAUGGUGCAAGUGUUUAGACGUAUGGAGAAGAUCACUCUGGAAACCUAAGGUGAAGUUAGCAGACUCUGUUCGUUAAUAGGGACUCUGCAGAGAAGGUUGGAGUUAGAGUACUCCACACCAAAAGAUGGUUAUGCCAGGGAAGAAAGCUUUGAGAAGCAACCAGUGAUCACUAUAUUUCCUUUACUCAAGGAGAAGAAAAGUAAGGCAAAGAAGAAAGAAGAGCCCGAUUCUAGUUGACCAGAAGUGGAGGAGAUCUGGGAAACAAGUUUGCCUGAUCCUCUACUAUUCCCAUUAUAUGGUAGAGGGCAUAUCGGGCUAGGAGGAAGGAAGUUUGGAAUAACUCAACAAGUGAUAGGAGCAUAUUUAUGCGACUUAGUUAACAUGUUUUCUUGCACUUACUUAGUUAGUUAUUGCUUAUAAGAGAGUUUUAAAUCAUUUUCGUAUGUUUGUAGGUCCUAAUAACAAAGUUGGCAAGAAAAGUGCAUUUUGGUGCAUUUGGAGCAAUUUUGGGCUGAAAUGGAUUGCAUGCACUUGGAGACAUGAGGAUGGACGUUUUGGGAAGAUUAGAAUUCAGCAUAUGUGUGUGCAAGUGUGUGACCUACAACUAACAAACAUCAUAGCUGCCAUGUGAUGGAGACAACAUCAUACAAGGCACAUGCAAAGAAACACACACGACAUGGAGAGAAAGUGUAGUGGUUUGUAGCUGAAUUGUUGAAGCAAGUGUGCGCAAAUGUAAAGAGGAUCUAAACAUGGACAGCAUACAGCAUGUGCAAAGGAGGAAACACACACACAUGGGCAAAGGAAAGGCACAGCAUGGGCAGAAAAUACACCACUACAUUCACUCAUUACCACAACACUCACCCUUGUCCCCUUCACCCAUCAGAUUUCAUUCACUUUCACCUCCACUAAAUGCACUCAUUGAUGCACGACUCCUCCACUUUCCUUGCCCAUGCCGUGCAUCAUGAAUCCACCUGCACCUAUGACUCAUUUCUGCACCAUUCCACCUCUCUUUCCUUUAUCUACCAUGUGCACAAUCAUUCAUGUUCCCCACUUGCAUUCAUAGCUACAACACCACUCCAUUUCACCCCCCAUGCUUUGCAUCAUUACUUCACUUUCACCAUUGAAUCAUUGCUAACACCACCAUCCAUCCCUCCAUGCCGUGUACUUCCUCUCUAAAAGGAAGUGUGUGUGGCAGCCAUUACAUGCAGUUUUUGCUUGAGAAUUCAUCCCCAAUUCAAUACAACUAUCAUCCAAACACAUCCAUUCAUCUACACAUCCAUUCCUCCAUACAACCAAACCUUCAAACACUCACCAACAUCUUGUUGAAGGAAAAAAUUUGUCCUAACUAAGAACAAGUAUGAACAUUUGAAUACACAUGCAAGCUAUUAACACUUUAAAGUAGGCAUGCAUCCAAAAACAAUUCAUAAAACCCAUGACUUUCAAAGCCUAGUAUAUGGUGAACCAAAAUAAACUCUUUAACAAUAUUAAAGAGAAGGAAGAAUUUAGUGAUUCUUUACCCUUGAAGCUCAUCCUUGAUUACACAAGGGAUUCACCCAAGUGGAGGGCCUUCAAGUCACCUCCAAGCUCCUUGAAUCCUCCUUGUGUUUUCCUCCCUUUAGUGCUCCUUUGGAGAUUUGAGGAAAUAAGGAUUUGUUCUCCAAACCACCAAAAGCUUGAUGUCUCUAAGUCUCUUCACCAAGGUUGUAUCUUGUGAAGAUGAAAUGGAUGACUAAGGGAAGAAGAGAUUGCUAGAUGUCCCUUCCCUUAGUGGCCGGCCUCCUUAGAAGAAAAUGGAGAAAAUGUUUCACCCAAUUUCAACAAGAAGAACCCUAAUUAGAAAAUUGCUAUAAAGUUGCUUUUAUAACAUUUUCUUUGGUGAGUGGCAAA
RNAcentral lists this long non-coding RNA (7222 nucleotides) under Malus domestica (apple). RNAcentral's name for it is "long non-coding RNA (MDOM_LNC012697)". The record is from RNAcentral. Lineage: Eukaryota; Viridiplantae; Streptophyta; Magnoliopsida; Rosales; Rosaceae.